AAGUCGUAACAAGGUUUCCGUAGGUGAACCUGCGGAAGGAUCAUUAUCAAUGAUUUUAAAUAUCAUAAACACUUUGUGAAUUUGGAAGUCCCGUACGGGACAAAGUUUAAACUUUUUUUGUUUUUUAUUUUAAUAUAAAAUGACAACUUUUAGCAACGGAUCUCUAGGUUCUC
RNAcentral lists this unclassified non-coding RNA (173 nucleotides) under fungal sp. Its description in RNAcentral is "partial internal transcribed spacer region". The stretch from base 1 to 46 matches the Rfam family "Eukaryotic small subunit ribosomal RNA", at positions 1786 to 1831 of the family's 1831-position model. Lineage: Eukaryota; Fungi. The record is from RNAcentral.